GCGCUCGUAGCUCAGUUGGAUAGAGCAACAGCCUUCUAAGCCGUAGGUCACAGGUUCGAAUCCUGUCGAGCGUACCA
RNAcentral lists this transfer RNA (77 nucleotides) under Helicobacter sp. 13S00477-4. Its description in RNAcentral is "tRNA-Arg". It matches the Rfam family "tRNA". From Rfam's summary of the family: Transfer RNA (tRNA) molecules are approximately 80 nucleotides in length. The record is from RNAcentral. Lineage: Bacteria; Pseudomonadati; Campylobacterota; Epsilonproteobacteria; Campylobacterales; Helicobacteraceae.